RNAcentral lists this long non-coding RNA (2371 nucleotides) under Hordeum vulgare. Its description in RNAcentral is "long non-coding RNA (HVUL_LNC017773)". The record is from RNAcentral. Lineage: Eukaryota; Viridiplantae; Streptophyta; Magnoliopsida; Poales; Poaceae.
UUUUAUUAUUUAACUGGUUUAAGCAUUACACCCUGCCUCUGCAUAAAUAAGGUGCACAUAGCCAAACAAAUUCCUCUUACAAAGAACAAACAUAAUAAAAAAGGCGAAAUACAAACACAUAGAAUCCGUAUAAUGCCUAAACCUAGGGGGGGCAAUCCUAAGAUCAUGUUGUCACCCAUGUCGGAUAAAAGUAUCCCUCGCCGUAUCCUCCAAUCGUGUACACACCUCCGUAAACAGGUCUCGAUUCUACAUGUGUUGUAGAGAGGACCAUAAACAAAGAAUCCCGGUACAUCUGUAGAUAACCUGCAUAAGAGAAGUAUUUUUAUCAUUAAAAACCUUAUCAUUUCUACAUAGCUAAAGCGACCAAAUAACGGCAAUCACUUCCACCUUGACAAGAGUUCUAAACCUGUGAUCAAUCUCAUGUAACCAGUUGCCAAAUAUAUUAGCAAUAGUACAAGGAGGAUACAAGCCAGAAGUUAUUUGGAUGAUUGAUAUAGAACGAGCCGAUUUGCAUUGGAAGAACAAAUGUUUUAUUGUCUCAUCAUGCUGACAAAAGACACAUUGCGUACUUCCAUGUCAAUUCCUCUUAAUAAGGUUAUCUUUAGUAAGAAUGACUCCGCGACGAAGAUAUCAUGCAAAGAUUUUAUUCUUAAGUGGUAUUUUCAUCUUCCAGAUCUUCUUGUUAUUAUCAACUGGCACAUCAAACUGGAGUAAGGCUAUGGUAUACGGCGGGUAUUACGUGAAUUCGUUGGUGGUUGAGCUAGGCAUACGACGGGUAUCCUCAAAAAGGAGAACCUUCGUCUUUCAUCUAUCAUUGAUGAAUUAGAAGCUUUGGCAGAGGUUAGACCCUUACCUGAGCAUGAAAUCGAGAUCAAGAGUCAAUCGAAAUCACAGAUAGCUAGCAUGAUGCGUGAAGAGGAACUCAAAUGGUACCAACAUUCUAACUCUCAAUUUAUCCUGAAAGGUGAUUCGAAUACUAGAUAUUUCCAUGGUGUCACCAAUGGUAGACACCGGAAAAAACGGAUUCACUCCCUACUACAGGAGGAGGACAUGAUUGAGGGGCAUGCACAACUUAAAUCUUAUAUCACUAAUUAUUAUAAAAAAUUGUUUGGAGCUCCAGAAGAAGGCGAUGUAUGAGUCCUGAACAUAUGACAUCCCCCAGAUCUCUGAUAAGGAAAAUAGCCUUCUAACAGCCCCAUAUUCUGAGGACGAAGUUAGAAAGGCAGUUUUUCUAAUGGAGCACAACAAAGCCCCGGGUCCAGAUGGUUUUCGAGCUGAGUUUUAUCAGAACUUCUGGGAAGUCAUCAAACCGGAUCUCCUACUACUGUUUGGCCACCUACAUGUUGGGCAACUACAAUUGUUUCGCUUAAAGUUUGUUGAGAUUAUUUUAUUACCUAAGGUUAAUGAGGCUGAAAGGAUACAACAAUGUAGACCUAUAUGCCUCCUUAAUGUUAGUUUUAAAAUCUUCACGAAAGUUGUGACGAUUAGGCUAAAUUCGGUUGCUGAACAUGUGAUGUGUCCUUCACAGACUGUUUUCAUGCAAAGCAGACACAUCCUAGAUGGAGUAGUUAUCUUCCAUGAAACAGUCCAAGAAUUACAUCAGAAAAAGUUGAAUGGGGCAGUACUCAAAAUCGACUUUGAAAAAGCUUAUGACAAAGUCAAGUGGCCUUUUCUUCAACACACUCUCAGAAUUAAAGGAUUUUCUGCAUAGUGGCAUGCUAUGAUCCAUAUUUUCGUUGCUGGCGGUAGUGUGGUCAUUAAAGUCAAUGAUGUUGUUGGCCACUAUUUCCAAACGAAGAAGGGAUUACGACAAGGUGACUCAAUAUCACCCAUGCUAUUUAAUAUAGUGGCGGAUAUGUUAGCAGUCAUGAUUGAGCGUGCCAAGGUUGAUGGCAAAAUUGAUGGGGUAGUGGGUCAUCUAGUUGAUGGUGGUCUCUCUAUCAUUCAAUAUGCUGACUGUUGGGGAACAUUGCAUGGGAAACAAAAAAAUCCUACGCACACGAAGACCUAUCAUGAUGAUGAUCAUCUACGAUAGGGAGAUCAGAUCUACAUACCCUUGUAGAUCGCUAAGCGGGAAGCGUUAAGAAACGCGGUUGAUGUAGUGGAACGUCUUCGCGAUCCAAAUCGCCGCCGUCCCAGAUCCGUCCCGAUCUAGCACCAAACGGACGGCACCUCCAUGUUCAGCACACGUACAGCUCGAUGACGAUCUCCGCCUUCUUGAUCCAGCAAGAGAGAUGAAGAGGUAGCUGAAUUCUCCGGCAGCACGACGGCGUGGCGAUAAUGAUGGUGGAGCUACUCCGGCAGGGCUUCGUCAUGCCGUACCGAUCUAGCUACGAUGUGUCACGAAGUAGUGGAGGGAGAGAGGUUUGCA